RNAcentral lists this ribosomal RNA (254 nucleotides) under uncultured bacterium. RNAcentral's name for it is "partial 16S ribosomal RNA". It matches the Rfam family "Bacterial small subunit ribosomal RNA", at positions 524 to 776 of the family's 1533-position model. The record is from RNAcentral.
UACAGAGGUCCCAAGCGUUGUUCGGAUUCACUGGGCGUAAAGGGUGCGUAGGCGGUCGGGUAAGUCUGAUGUGAAAUCUCACAGCUUAACUGUGAAACUGCAUUGGAUACUAUCCGGCUCGAGGAAUGGAGGGGGAGACUGGAAUACUUGGUGUAGCAGUGAAAUGCGUAGAUAUCAAGUGGAACACCAGUGGCGAAGGCGAGUCUCUGGACAUUUCCUGACGCUGAGGCACGAAAGCCAGGGGAGCAAACGGG